ACUAACAAGGAUUCCCCUAGUAACGGCGAGUGAAGAGGGAAAAGCUCAAAUUUGAAAUCUGGCAGUCUACGGCUGUCCGAGUUGUAAUCUAGAGAAGUGUUUUCCGUGCUGGACCGUGUACAAGUCCUUUGGAACAAGGCGUCAUAGAGGGUGAGAAUCCCGUCUACGACACGGACUCCCAGUGCUUUGUGAUACACUCUCAACGAGUCGAGUUGUUUGGGAAUGCAGCUCAAAAUGGGUGGUAAAUUCCAUCUAAAGCUAAAUAUGGGCGAAAGACCGAUAGCGAACAAGUACCGUGAGGGAAAGAUGAAAAGCACUUUGGAAAGAGAGUUAAACAGUACGUGAAAUUGUUGAAAGGGAAACGCUUGAAGUCAGUCGCGUCUUCAGAAACUCAGCCUGGCUUUCUGCCUGGUGUACUUUUCUGUAGGACGGGCCAGCAUCAGUUUUGGCUGCUAGAAAAAGGUGGGAGGAAGGUAGCACCAUGUGAGUGGUGUGUUUAUAGCCUCUCAUCGUAUGUGGCAGCUGGGACUGAGGACUGCAGCANGCCUUCAAUGGCCGGGGUUCGCCCACGUAACGUGCUUAGGAUGCUGGCGUAAUGGCUUUAAACGACCCGUCUUGAAACACGGACCAAGGAGUCUAACAUGCCUGCGAGUAUUUGGGUGGUAAACCCAUAUGCGGAAUGAAAGUGAACGGUUGGGACUUCUGUCAUGGAAGGCACCGACGCCCGGACCAGACCUACUGUGACGGAUCCGAGGUAGAGCAUGUAUGUUGGGACCCGAAAGAUGGUGAACUAUGCCUGAGUAGGGUGAAGCCAGAGGAAACUCUGGUGGAGGCUCGUAGCGAUUCUGACGUGCAAAUCGAUCGUCGAACUUGGGUAUAGGGGCGAAAGACUAAUCGAACCAUCUAGUANCUGGUUCCUGCCGAAGUUUCCCUCAGAUAGCAGAGACUCAUAUCAGAUUUAUGUGGUAAAGCGAAUGAUUAGGGGCCUUGGGGUUGAAAC
This 1000-nucleotide ribosomal RNA is filed under the name Geastrum parvistriatum. RNAcentral describes it as "LSU rRNA". It matches the Rfam family "Eukaryotic large subunit ribosomal RNA", at positions 64 to 1042 of the family's 3401-position model. Lineage: Eukaryota; Fungi; Basidiomycota; Agaricomycetes; Geastrales; Geastraceae. The record is from RNAcentral.